Brachypodium distachyon (stiff brome) is the source of this 1267-nucleotide long non-coding RNA. RefSeq lists it as uncharacterized. The transcript has 2 exons. The record is from RefSeq and is a predicted model, not a curated record. NCBI's taxonomy places the organism in Eukaryota, Viridiplantae, Streptophyta, Magnoliopsida, Poales, Poaceae.
GCUCAUGUAAGUUUUUUCAGCCAAUAACUUCUUAUUCCCAUCUGUAUUUAAUUACCACUGUUUUUAUGCGUUUACGUCAGAACCUUAUUGACCCCUUUUUAAUGUACCGCCAUUGAGGGCUCCUGCGGCACCUCCAUCUCCAAAGUCGUCGCUGUGAAAGGCAACAAGACGCACACAAGUUUCUUCGUUUAUAAUUCUCAUGAUUGUCUUGUUGAGGUUUGUAUGGACUGUUGGUGUCUUUGACGUAACUCAUGAAAUGCAGAAUUUACCAUGCACAUGGAUAUAGCUCUAUAAGGUUUGUGAUUUUUGGACUGAAAGCUCAAAAUUUUAGCAUUUACAUUUGAUUCCUUCCAGAAAUUUGUAGUCUCUUGAAUUGAUAGGUUCUUGGAAUAGUCGGGAGUAGUCAAGUGUGGUGCCAGAUUUUUAUAAAAGGGUCCAGUUCUUGUGGCAUUUGGUGUUCCUUGGUGAAACUCACUGAACAUCAGCUCCCCUGGUUGUUGUCAUAUUUUCUACGGAGUACUUGGUACUCAAGAAUCAUAUUACAUUUCAUUGUGUCAGAUUUAGGACAAAAAUGCCCUUCUGACCUAAAGAAGUUUGCGCGUUGUCGAUUGAAGAAAACAUAAAUAAUAUAUGUUUGCGUAGCUGUGAGAGAACGGUGAGCAAAGAUUUCUAUGUGGAAGUGCUAAUUCACAUAAUAUGGUGGAGAUGAAAUGCAUCCUUAAUAAUCUUCAUCUGAUAUGUUGUCCAAGGAGAAAUGAAUAAUGAUGAGUUAAUUGCAGAUGGGUUUUUUUCAUGAUUUUAACACGUAUGUUCCGUACCUAAGUUUGGUGUUUUGUGUUAAUGUUCCAUAUAGCAUGACCUGUCUGAGUUACUAAUUGGAUAUCUGAUUUGUGGAUGACGGAAGACACAUGCACAUGGAAGACAAUGCUGGGUGCAGUAAAAGAGUUGCUGGAGGCGUAUAAGACGGUUGCCACAACUAUGCAUCGUUGCUAAGCAUAGAAGAAUAAAUGUUGCAUUUUUUCACAUCCUUUUAUUAUUCCUGUUAAGGUAAGGUGCUUAAAGUGUAAAUAAGGUUAGGCUCUUUCCUGUCUCGGUGUAAAAUGGUGCUAGAGCAUUGUGCCCGCAUACGAGUAUCUUCAUAUAGUCUUCAAAUGAUAGUGUGUUCGGAUCUCUCCUGAUAUUUGUGUGAUAUUGGUAUCCAAUGUGUGUAAGUUGUAUCAUGAUUUAUUAUAUCUUUUCUGCUUAUUAUUAUGUUUGCCCGAGGUAA